This is a non-coding RNA of Agrococcus carbonis, 358 nucleotides long. Lineage: Bacteria; Bacillati; Actinomycetota; Actinomycetes; Micrococcales; Microbacteriaceae. The record is from Rfam.
UCGGUCGGCCAGGCGGUCGCGUCGCGCAUCUUCGGAUGCGUGCCGAGGAACGUCCGGGCUCCGCAGAGCAGGGCGGUGGAUAACGUCCACCCGGGGCAACCCGCGAGCAAGUGCAACAGAGAGCAGGUCCACCGGUCGGGGCGACCCGGCCGGCCAGGAGUGAAACGGUGGGGCAAGAGCCCACCAGCGCGGCGCGUGAGCGUCGCGGCUAGGCAAACCUCGCCCGGAGCAAGACCAGACAGCGGAUCACGGGGCUGCUCGUCCCAUCCGCGGGUAGGUCGCUAGAGGCGCACGGCGACGUGCGUCGUAGAGAGAUGACCGUCCACGACAGAACCCGGCGUAUCGGCCGGCCGAUUCG